RNAcentral lists this long non-coding RNA (1145 nucleotides) under Heterocephalus glaber (naked mole-rat). The record is from RNAcentral. Lineage: Eukaryota; Metazoa; Chordata; Mammalia; Rodentia; Bathyergidae.
GUUGAUUUAGUAGGUAAGGUCUAAAAAUAAGGAGAUUUUGCACAUAAUCAGAAUUUCUGUAUUUUCUUUAAAAGCUAGUACCAUCCCUUGGCACUGGGCCUGUGUCCCUAAGCAACAGGUGUGUGUGUCCUGGCUCAACAAGUCCCUAUCGCAUGGCGAUGGCUCUUGCUCAUUUCUUUUACCUGCUGGUCCUUCCUGGUGUUUUCAUUUGCUUCCUCUGCGUUAUUUGUUCAGAUCUAGAGAAGUAGCUAUAAGUCCAACAAACUUGUCUCUUGUUCUUACUGCUUCCCCCUACUGACCGUUGUCUCAUUUUGUUCUGUUAUCAGCUUAGCAAAGUCUCCAUCUUUUUAUUCUCUGAGGAGAAGUCCUCUUCCAUACCAUAUGCUUUGUCUUGGAGAGAAGAUAAAGGAGAUGAGGGAAGGUGGAAGUCCUGACUUACUGGCCUCUUAAGCCAAAUGAAGAAACCGGAGCUGGGUCUAUGGCUAUACCAUCCUGAACGCGCACAAUCGCAUCUGAUCUUGGAAGCUAAGCAGGGUCGGGCCCGAAGUGCAAAGGGUUUAACUCAGGAAGAAGCAGCACCAUGAAGUGAGCCAGACCUCAUUCACACCUUCCUGCUGUGGCUCCACUCACCCACUGCAGAGUCUACCAAUUCUUUCCUCAGACUUGGCAUAAAUUGGAGGGAAAGAUGUUUACCAGAAUGGAUGGAUGGCUGGAUAGAUGGAUAGAUGGAUAGACAAAUGGAUUAAUCUCAGGGAGUCUUGCAAUGUUCUUCCAUGUGUUUGUGGCAGAAAACACUUUGAUGUGUUUUUAGAAUGCUAUUUCUAAUACUUCAAGUUCAAAUAUCGAGGCUGAAAAAAACAAAGACAUUCUAUCUCCAAAAAGAAGGCAGUACAAUAGAGCUCAACAGCACGAGCUUUGGAGUCAUUCAGUCCUUAUUAACACCUCUGAAUUUCUGUUUCUUCAUGUAUAAAAUGAUGGUAAUAACAGUACCUUUCUCAAAGAUGGUUGCUAUUUGAAUUAACUAAAAUAACUUUUGGAUAAUAUCAGUAAUUUACUGCUUAUAAAAUAGGGAGCACUUGAGAAAUUAUAACUCUAACUCACUGAAAAGAUUUCUGUUGAGGUUAUUAUAGGCUUAGUUCUAUCAC